GACCUAUGGAUAGAAAGAAAGAUGCAGGAAAGGCAAAUGAAAGAAGAAAGCAAAAUUCGCUUUGGGAGUGUGAGAUAGGCAGACGGGGAGUACGCAGCCGAACAACCGCUGGGGUUUCCAGCAGUGAUAGCUGAACUAAUCAGAUGGGCCGCCCCAAACCUUACGCUGACAUUUUAAUCGGAAAUCAACAUCGGGUCCCGGCUAUCCGAAAAACGCAGACUGAAGCGGAAGAUCACAAAAUGCAACACAACAAGGGGGUCGUUAGACCGUAGCUUGCGCGAAGGAAGAAGCUAAUCAAUCAGAAUUGAGACAGGGAGGAGAGGCGAAAGAGAGAUUUUCGAGCCUGCAAGCAGCAAGCAACAACGGCUUUUCAGCCGUUGCGCGCUAGCUU
Molecule: long non-coding RNA, 391 nt
Filed under: Nicotiana benthamiana
Lineage: Eukaryota; Viridiplantae; Streptophyta; Magnoliopsida; Solanales; Solanaceae
Description: long non-coding RNA (NBEN_LNC010604)
Source: RNAcentral